This 643-nucleotide ribosomal RNA is filed under the name uncultured bacterium. RNAcentral's name for it is "bacterial SSU rRNA". It matches the Rfam family "Bacterial small subunit ribosomal RNA", at positions 232 to 885 of the family's 1533-position model. The record is from RNAcentral.
CGCGGCCUAUCAGCUUGUUGGUGGGGUAAUGGCCUACCAAGGCGACGACGGGUAGCCGGCCUGAGAGGGCGACCGGCCACGCUGGGACUGAGACACGGCCCAGACUCCUACGGGAGGCAGCAGUGGGGAAUAUUGCACAAUGGGCGAAAGCCUGAUGCAGCGACGCCGCGUGAGGGAUGACGGCCUUCGGGUUGUAAACCUCUUUCACCAGGGACGAAGCUAACGUGACGGUACCUGGAGAAGAAGCACCGGCUGACUACGUGCCAGCAGCCGCGGUAAUACGUAGGGUGCGAGCGUUGUCCGGAAUUAUUGGGCGUAAAGAGCUUGUAGGCGGUUUGUCGCGUCUGCUGUGAAAGACCGGGGCUUAACUCCGGUUCUGCAGUGGGUACGGGCAGACUAGAGUAUGGUAGGGGAGACUGGAAUUCCUGGUGUAGCGGUGAAAUGCGCAGAUAUCAGGAGGAACACCGAUGGCGAAGGCAGGUCUCUGGGCCAUUACUGACGCUGAGAAGCGAAAGCAUGGGGAGCGAACAGGAUUAGAUACCCUGGUAGUCCAUGCCGUAAACGUUGGGCGCUAGGUGUGGGGCUCAUUCCACGAGUUCCGUGCCGCAGCUAACGCAUUAAGCGCCCCGCCUGGGGAGUACGG